CCGGCAGACGUAUAGGAGCGGCAUCGGUGGCAGGCAGGGUUCCUCGUCCCUCGUUCCUCCUCCCCCCGCUGCACCACAGUCUCGCCGAUUAGGAGCGCCCGCGAAAGCGCGUCCAUUACUCGAGCACGUAUUUGGGAUAGAUAGUUUCCGCCACGCACGCACGCACGCACGCACACACACACACACACACACACCAAAAACAAAUGUAUUUAUGAAUUUCGUUUUUGCCCCUCAUUCCCUUGUAUUCAAGCCGCAGGUAGAUGCUUGAGUGGUGCGCCAACGCCAUCCCUCGCAUCGCUGGCAGACUCUUUUGAACGCUCCUCAAACAGGCGAUAGUGAGGAUUUGCCCCCCCCCUUCCCCACCUUCUGUGUGUGGUGAGCUUUUCUUUCUUUUUCGUUCCGUGUUGCAGUUUUGCCGGCCUGCAUCGUGUAUUUACAGUUCUAGAGCGUUGUGAGCGAGAGGGUCGCAUACAUCGCGCACAUGCAUCUCCUCGUUGAUUGUGGAUAGACGCUGCCUGUUUUGUUUUUCUUUCGCCCUUAUCGCACCUAGACAAAUCCUAAGUUGCAACGCUGAGAUGCAUCAUGGCACAGCAUCCAGACAAGCUCAAGUGGAAAGACGCGCAUCCGCACGGACUGUCGGCAUCCCAGUUUGGGAUGGCGCUGGGUUUCUGCGGUCGCGUCUCGGACUAUGUGCGCUACCUUCGCGACAUUGUGGGCACUGAGCACGAGUUCAAGGGAAACGCCUUUACGGCACACGGCACCCGCACAGAGCCCAAGGCUCGUGCGCUGUAUGAGCUUCUUACCGGCUGCCGCGUCUACGACGGCGGUUUCUUUGUGACGAGCGACCACAUCUUAGGCUGCUCACCUGACGGGCGAAUCUACCACCACGUUGGCGAGCGGCCCAUCGAGCAACAAGCAGGGCUGUCUGCGUCGGCCCUGACACGCCGCUUCCAGAGCUGCAGCGGCGGCUGCGGUGCCAGCAACGGUGUCAGCAUGAUGGAGCGGCAGCGGCGAGGCAGCAGAUGCUCUGUGCACGUGCCGUUCAAGAGCAAGCGGCGACCACGUUCACCACUGUCCGCGGUCUCUAGCCGCAGGUCGAACAGCUCUGGUGCCCUUGCUUGCGACGACGACGAAAGCACCAGCUGCAAAUCUGGCAGCACUCGCUGCUCCACGGAUGGGAGAUCUGCUAUUGCUCUAACGCAGAGCCAUGCGAGCAUUGAUGGGACGCUCUCGACGCCGUUGGGGUCACCUUCCCAUCACAAGGUCCGGCUGCUGGAAAUCAAAUCCCCAUUUAGAGCGCUGUACAACUCCACGAAGCCCGGCUACCAGCCCUUCGGUAUCCCCAUGCACUACAUGUGCCAAAUACAGGGCCAGCUCGCCAUCGCCGACUGUGAAGAGUGCGACUUCUUUGUCUACCUCGACCAUCCCAUGUGUCAGGUGGAGGGGUGGCGCGUGCGCCGCUCGCGUGCCUUUUGGGCAUGGGCAGAGCCAAACUUGCGUCGCGUGUCGAGCUGGGUGAAGGACGGCCCGCCGGACUGGCUGAAUCGGUCGUUUGCCUUCACCGAGUUCGACUUCCGCACGAUUGAGGUGGUGCCGCUCGUUUUUCCAUUUGACAUCACGGCGAACGCUGCACUGACAGACCCGCGUUCUUUCGCCUUUUUCGCGCAGUUUGCCAACCCUUUUGAGUCCCUUGACCGACGCCGAGAGGCCCGCGGCAAUGACGACGCGCAGGCGCAAGCGCAGGACUGGUGUUUCGCCUACGCAGGGCUGGCCUGGGCGGACAUAACCGAGUACGAGCGCAUCGCUGUUGCGGCACAGACGCCUGCGGUGCGGCGGCUCUUUGCGCCCGCCGAAGCAGACACAGAUGACACGGAAGCCCUCGAGGCAAAAAUUGAGCUAUGGAGCCAUCUGUCGUCGUGGCGGCGAGCGCUGGAGGUGGAGGGCGUGUUUGAGGAGAGUGCGACGGCGGUGUUUUGGAAGGAGUGGACACGCACGGCCACGGCCGGCCGCGAUCCGGUUGUAAAGGUAACUCUCAGCGUCCCGUGUGACUGGGAUACCGGACGAGUAGAGACGCGGUGCAGCUUGCCGUCGGUACCUCGUACUCAGGGCGAUGCCCUGGACUCAAGGUAUGACACGGCCUUUAUCCACUUCCACCAGCGUCUCUUCUUUGCGUCCUUGCUAGGUGACGACGUGGCCGAUCCGUGUGAGCGCGCAACGUCCGUGACGGCACCCGGAGCGGCGAAGCCGCCGCCGCACGCUGCCCUGUCGAACCUGGUUCCCUUCCUCUCCGAGUCGGUGGUUUCGUCGUCGAAGAGAGAAGAGCUGGAGCGCCCGGCAAGUGGCCCGGCGGCGACGUGCGUUCAGGCAUAUAGUACUGCCUCUUCCUUUGUUGGCAUGGCGGCACCGUCUCGCCGAGGGGCAUCCUCCGGCGGGACGCCAUCCUCGUCUGUGGUGUGCUUCUCACCGAGAGAGUGCUCCCCAUCGCAGCAGCGCGUCGUCUCGGCACUUUCGGAGCAUCUCUGUCACUGUCUAUCGCCGCUCCAGUGCCGACUUCACAAACACGCAGAGGAGCGCAACCCUGCCGAGCUUUCUGCACUUGCUUCGGAUGCUGUUGCCGCAACGCACCAUGCAGCAGUGCUGCAGCGCGCAUCGGUCCCGCUGCCUGAGCUGGCCUCCCCUCCAGCCUUUCUGCCUUCAAAGCGGCCGUGCCUUGUGUGCGAGAUAUCGGUGCAGGAACUACUGGAUGUUAUUCGAUUCGCGAAUGACUGUGAGGGAGUCGUUCUCGUCUCCGAUUCCCAGGCGCCCCUCUGCUACUACGAAAAACUACGCGACUUGAGGCCUCCCUCGAUGAGUGGCGCUGCGGACGGGACAUGGUCGCCGCCUGGCUCUACACUUCUCGUUGGAGAGACCGCGGUGAUGCAGCAGCUUCUCCAUACGAGCGCGAAGGCAUCGUUCGGGCGGCCAUCCGCACUGAGUCCGCUUCAGCUUGUAUGGGAUCAAGUAAGCGCCCGCACACGUCCUCCUGCUUCUCUCGUUCCUUGCUUUGUGGAGUGCACCGCGGGCUCGUCCUCGCAUUUGCGCGAUACGAUAGAACACCUGGGAGGCACCCCGUGUUUUCUCGUGCGUGCUGCCGCGGAUGCCACCAGCGUGCUGAGACAGACCAAGGACCUGAUCCGAGAGUGGGGUACGGGAGCCUGCCGUCGCCGGCGUGUCGACGAUGCAAAGAGCAGGCUAGUGUAACAGGAACUGGAUGGGGUGGCGUAGCCACUGCCUGAGGCAGCAGCGCUCCUUUCAGGGGUAACGGUGUUCCUGGCUGUGGGUGUCAAACCGCGGGCGUGUAGUCAACUUUACUGAUCAUCGUGAGUGUCUGUGCAGCAACCUCGAAAGAGUGUUCCCCCCCCCCCGGCAGGCAUCAGCGGGUGGCGCUUUUCAUGUCGAGCUUGCUGUCGCCUGGGGGCCCCGUGCGGCACCGACUAAGGCCACUAAAAGAGCGCUCGAUGACACGCGGCACCGUCUUGGUGCGAGAGUGACAAGGAAACGACUGCUUUGAGGCCAAGCGUGAAACCGACGCGCGCCCCUUCCUUCUCCUCUUUUUGGCAGCAGAGGGUUCAAGAGAGAGCACAGCGUGCACUUCCGAAUUGUCGACUGCUUUGCCCUUCGACUGCCGCCUCGCUCAACCCUUGCGGCCACUAUACAUUCCCGUUCUGCCACCCCUCUUCACUCUCUCCAUUACACAAACAAG
RNAcentral lists this unclassified non-coding RNA (3742 nucleotides) under Leishmania donovani. RNAcentral's name for it is "gene:LdHU3.32.2010(CDS-product:YqaJ-like_viral_re combinase_domain_containing_protein_putative)". The record is from RNAcentral. Lineage: Eukaryota; Euglenozoa; Kinetoplastea; Trypanosomatida; Trypanosomatidae.